Molecule: ribosomal RNA, 253 nt
Filed under: uncultured bacterium
Lineage: Bacteria
Description: partial 16S ribosomal RNA
Rfam family: Bacterial small subunit ribosomal RNA
Source: RNAcentral
UACGUAGGGCGCAAGCGUUGUCCGGAAUUAUUGGGCGUAAAGAGCUCGUAGGCGGCUUGUCACGUCGGGUGUGAAAGCCCGGGGCUUAACCCCGGGUCUGCAUUCGAUACGGGCAGGCUAGAGUGUGGUAGGGGAGAUCGGAAUUCCUGGUGUAGCGGUGAAAUGCGCAGAUAUCAGGAGGAACACCGGUGGCGAAGGCAGCUCGCUGGGACGGUACUGACGCUGAGGCGCGAAAGCGUGGGGAGCAAACAGG